RNAcentral lists this ribosomal RNA (513 nucleotides) under uncultured bacterium. Its description in RNAcentral is "partial 16S ribosomal RNA". It matches the Rfam family "Bacterial small subunit ribosomal RNA", at positions 28 to 507 of the family's 1533-position model. The record is from RNAcentral.
GACGAACGCUGGCGGCGUGCUUAACACAUGCAAGUCGAACGAAAAGAGGGGAAGAGCUUGCUCUUUCCGGAAUUGAGUGGCAAACGGGUGAGUAACACGUAAACAACCUGCCUUCAGGAUGGGGACAACAGACGGAAACGACUGCUAAUACCGAAUAAGUUCCAAGGGCCGCAUGGCCCAUGGAAGAAAAGGUGGCCUCUACCUGUAAGCUAUCGCCUGAAGUGGGGUUUGCGUCUGAUUAGCUGGUUGGGGGGGUAACGGCCCACCAAGGCGACGAUCAGUAGCCGGUCUGAGGGGAUGGACGGCCACACUGGAAUUGGGACACGGUCCAGACUCCUACGGGAGGCAGCAGUUGGGAAUCUUCCGAAAUGGGCGAAAGCCUGACGGAGCAACGCCGCGGGAGUGAUGACGGCCCUCGGGUUGUAAAACUCUGUGAUCCGGGACGAAAAGGCAGAGUGCGAAGAACAAACUGCAUUGACGGUACCGGAAAAGCAAGCCACGGCUAACUACGUG